GCCCGUUGGUCAAGCGGUUAAGACACCGCCCUUUCACGGCGGUAACACGGUUUCGAAUCCCGUCCGGGUCAU
RNAcentral lists this transfer RNA (72 nucleotides) under Bacillus subtilis XF-1. RNAcentral describes it as "tRNA-Glu". It matches the Rfam family "tRNA". Rfam says of the family: Transfer RNA (tRNA) molecules are approximately 80 nucleotides in length. Their secondary structure includes four short double-helical elements and three loops (D, anti-codon, and T loops). The record is from RNAcentral. Lineage: Bacteria; Bacillati; Bacillota; Bacilli; Caryophanales; Bacillaceae.